RNAcentral lists this small RNA (464 nucleotides) under Pan troglodytes (chimpanzee). Its description in RNAcentral is "retained intron". The record is from RNAcentral. Lineage: Eukaryota; Metazoa; Chordata; Mammalia; Primates; Hominidae.
CUGUGCACCUGCCAUCCAUGCCACCCCCGGAGCCCCAGCAGACACCCCAGGUUUAAACGGAACCUGCAGCGUUUCCAGUGUUCCCACGUCCACGUCGGAGACGCCUGACUACUUGCUGAGGUACGCAGCCAUCUCCUCUUCGGAGCAGCGCCAGAGCUACAAGAACGACUUCAAUGCCGAGUACAGCGAGUACCGCGACCUGCACGCCCGCAUUGAGCGCAUCACGCGGCGGUUCACCCAGCUCGACGCCCAGCUCCGGCAGCUCUCCCAGGGCUCCGAGGAGUAUGAGGUAGAGCCCCCCCGCUGCCUACUGUGCCCUGGCUCUGGCAGGAGCCAGGGCCCACUUGGGCGCGCACCAUCGCCACCACGAGCCUAGUGGCCUGCUUGGUGGCCCCAGAGUCUGGCCCUUCCCCAGGCAGUGCUUCUCCCCCUGGUGCACUCCAUGCAGCAACCCCAUGGUUCUG